RNAcentral lists this ribosomal RNA (253 nucleotides) under uncultured bacterium. RNAcentral describes it as "partial 16S ribosomal RNA". It matches the Rfam family "Bacterial small subunit ribosomal RNA", at positions 524 to 776 of the family's 1533-position model. The record is from RNAcentral.
UACGUAGGGUGCAAGCGUUGUCCGGAAUUAUUGGGCGUAAAGAGCUCGUAGGCGGUUUGUCGCGUCUGCUGUGAAAACGCGAGGCUCAACCUCGCGCCUGCAGUGGGUACGGGCAGACUAGAGUGCGGUAGGGGAGAUUGGAAUUCCUGGUGUAGCGGUGGAAUGCGCAGAUAUCAGGAGGAACACCGAUGGCGAAGGCAGAUCUCUGGGCAUUAACUGACGCUGAGGAGCGAAAGCAUGGGGAGCGAACAGG